GAAAAGUCAACCUCACUGCUGUCCCUUUGGGACACCAACGCAGUGGCAGUUAGCAAGCAAGCGUGGUGAUCACGAUUCUAGAGAAAGCAGCAAUCUUGGCAUUGUCUCAGUGUGUCUUCACUAGACGCCACAGAAGAAGGAAGUCAAAGAUGUAGUGGAGGCAGUGAGUGGGAGAAGAAGAACAGGACGAGUGAGUCAGCUGAGCUUCACGGUGCUUCAGUCUGAGGUGGUGGACGGUUGUCAAGCGAAACCUAUGCAGCAACGACAUACACUGGAUCCCACUCCCUGGGCGUCUUCUAUCUGUCUCAGCUCACUCACUUUGAGAGGUGAUCGCUCAGCGUGGACCCGUCUGACUGACUGCCUGAUCGCCGGUUGGUGAUACUUGUUGACACUGCAGGA
Molecule: long non-coding RNA, 399 nt
Filed under: Betta splendens (Siamese fighting fish)
Lineage: Eukaryota; Metazoa; Chordata; Actinopteri; Anabantiformes; Osphronemidae
Description: lncRNA (ENSBSLG00000015732.1)
Source: RNAcentral